RNAcentral lists this ribosomal RNA (443 nucleotides) under uncultured bacterium. RNAcentral's name for it is "partial 16S ribosomal RNA". It matches the Rfam family "Bacterial small subunit ribosomal RNA", at positions 338 to 795 of the family's 1533-position model. The record is from RNAcentral.
CCUACGGGAGGCAGCAGUGGGGAAUAUUGGGCAAUGGGCGCAAGCCUGACCCAGCCACGCCGCGUGAAGGAAGAAGGCUUUCGGGUUGUAAACUUCUUUUCUCAGGGACGAAGAAAGUGACGGUACCUGAGUAAUAAGCCACGGCUAACUACGCGCCAGCAGCUGCGGUAAUACGUAGGCGGCAAGCGUUAUCCGGAUUUAUUGGGUGUAAAGGGCGUGUAGGCGGGAGCGCAAGUCAGAUGUGAAAACUUCGGGCUUAACCCUCAGCCUGCAUUUGAUACUGUGUUUCUUGAGUGCUGGAGAGGCAAUCGGAAUUCCGUGUGUAGCGGUGAAAUGCGUAGAUAUACGGAGGAACACCAGUGGCGAAGGCGGCUUGCUGGACAGAAACUGACGCUGAGGCGCGAAAGCGUGGGGAGCAAACAGGAUUAGAUACCCCAGUAGUC